UAAAGACAGUAACCAUAUGCUGCACAGC
Molecule: small RNA, 28 nt
Filed under: Bombyx mori (domestic silkworm)
Lineage: Eukaryota; Metazoa; Arthropoda; Insecta; Lepidoptera; Bombycidae
Description: ovarian small RNA-1807
Source: RNAcentral